UACGUAGGUGGCAAGCGUUGUCCGGAAUCAUUGGGCGUAAAGAGCGUGUAGGCGGCCCGGUAAGUCCGCUGUAAAAGUCAAAGGCUCAACCUUUGAAUGUCAGUGGAUACUGUCGGGCUAGAGUCCGGAAAAGGCGAGUGGAACUCCUGGUGUAGCGGUGGAAUGCGCAGAUAUCAGGAAGAACACCAACGGCGAAGGCAGCUCGCUAGGACGGUACUGACGCUGAGACGCGAAAGCGUGGGGAGCGAACAGG
RNAcentral lists this ribosomal RNA (253 nucleotides) under uncultured bacterium. Its description in RNAcentral is "partial 16S ribosomal RNA". It matches the Rfam family "Bacterial small subunit ribosomal RNA", at positions 524 to 776 of the family's 1533-position model. The record is from RNAcentral.